Molecule: non-coding RNA, 74 nt
Organism: Potamilus streckersoni
Lineage: Eukaryota; Metazoa; Mollusca; Bivalvia; Unionida; Unionidae
Source: the annotation of a GenBank genome assembly
CGCUCCGAUGGCCCAGGUGUUAGAGCGUCCGCCUCGGAUGCGGAAGGUCGUGGGUUCGAGUCCCGGUCGAGUGA